This 1090-nucleotide long non-coding RNA is filed under the name Homo sapiens (human). Its description in RNAcentral is "novel transcript". Lineage: Eukaryota; Metazoa; Chordata; Mammalia; Primates; Hominidae. The record is from RNAcentral.
GCCAUUCUCCUGCCUCAGCCUCCUGAGUAGCUGGGACUACAGGAAUCUGCCACCACACUCGGCUAAUUUUUUGUAUUUUUAGUAGCGACGGGGUUUCACCGUGUUAGCCAGGAUGGUCUCAAUCUCCUGACCUUGUGAUCCACCCGCCUCGGCCUCCCAAAGUGCUGGGAUUACAGGCGUGAGCCACUGCGCCCUGCUGAGAGUUUUUUAUUGAUCAUUCAGUGAUUCUGAAGGGAAGACAGUUCUACUCUCACUGCCAGUGACAGCACAGCCCAGGAGAGCAAGGGCAGGCUCCUCUCCAGGUGUGGCUGCUCUCCAUGGCCUGGGUCAUAGUCUGGAGAUGACUGAAGAGUUAGUCUUGGGGCUGUUGCUUGUGAGAACUGGAGAGGUGUGUGUCAUUAUCUGAAUCGGCCAGGCCCACGCCAGGGUGAACUGGGCUUACAGGAAAUGCAGUCACAGAACAUUCGAGGAUCCUGAAUGCAAACACUCUUGGAUGAUCCAGAAGUAGUUCAAUCCACAGGGCUGGAGUGUAGUGGCGUGAUCUCGACUCCCUGAAACCAACUACUCUGUUUUUUGAAUUCUUGCUUCUUCACGUCAGUGCAGUGCGAGAUGCAUGGUGAAAGGCACACCUGUGAAUCCCAAGAAGCUGGAUGUUAUCUGUACCCUUUUCCCACUGGCAUCUGGAAGAACCUAAGUUAAGGAAAGAUGUUUGCUGCACUCUCUUGUUUUUUUAUGUUUAUGAUGCUAACCCAUGCUAGUCACUAUUGCUUUGAGCUAUGGUCUGAGUGUCUACGUCCCCUUCAAAAUUCUUAUGUUGAAAUCCUAACCCCCAAGGUGAUCGUAUUAGGAGGUGGGGCCUUUGGAAGGUGAGGAGGACUUGAGGGUGGAGUGCUCAUGAAUGGAAUAAGUGCCCUCCUAAAACAUUGGUCGGGGGACAUCCUCACCCUUUCCACCAUAUAAGGACACAGUGAGAAGGAGCCAUCUAUGAGCCAGAAAUUCAGCCCUCACCACACAGAACCUGCCAGUGUCUUCAUCGUGGACUCCUUAGCCUCUGGAACUGGGAUAAAUAAAUUUCUGCUGCCUAUCAGCU